GCCAGUUGCAGACGUCCAUCUAGUUCACGUCUGAUCUGAGCUGCUUGCUCAUCUGCAUUAUCCAGUUGGCAGGCAUUAUAAAUCAACUGAUGUUCCAAUUUUUUGAUCCCUAGAAUCUGCUGAAACAUUUCAUAAAGCUGUUCCUUGCUCAGAAUCAGCUCCGAUACAGCACUUAAGGCCAUUCGAUUUGGCUGUUUGCAGAAGUCUUCUUCUCC
This 215-nucleotide long non-coding RNA is filed under the name Gallus gallus (chicken). Lineage: Eukaryota; Metazoa; Chordata; Aves; Galliformes; Phasianidae. The record is from RNAcentral.